This is a long non-coding RNA of Mustela lutreola (European mink), 529 nucleotides long. RefSeq lists it as uncharacterized. NCBI's taxonomy places the organism in Eukaryota, Metazoa, Chordata, Mammalia, Carnivora, Mustelidae. The transcript has 3 exons. The record is from RefSeq and is a predicted model, not a curated record.
GAGGGCCAAGCUGACAGGACAGUGAUUAGUCUUCAGGGAGCAAAGGCAAAGAUACUGCCGGUGAGCCUGGGGCCGGAGAAGCUGGCCUGAGGCCCAGUCCGGUGGGCUGGAGCAAUGAUUUCAGAGGCCUGGAAUCUGAGGAUUUCCAGUCAUAGGGUCUAGGAGAGGAGGUGUUGGAGGUCAGGGAGUGGGGCGGGCCCGCAAAUCACAUUUCUGAGGUCCUGAAUCUGCUGUGCCUUACGCUGUGCAUUACCAUGCUGACGCCUCCUGCAGACUAGAACACCAGAGGUUUACUCCCCAGAGAGGCUGAAUGUGCCUGGAUGAGGCUGGAGGAGUCAGCCUCAGCUGAAGAAAAGGAUGCAUCACAUGAACAGGAGAAUCAUGUGAUAAUCUACAUACUGAACAGAGAGACCUCCUCCAUCCUCUUCCCUCACUCAGUUUCAAAAAUACUGGCAAGGUGAUACUAUAUCACCUCCCUUCCCCUGCAAGAGGUCAGAGGCUUUCUCCCUGGGGAAUCUGAUAUUUGGAU